Molecule: ribosomal RNA, 377 nt
Filed under: uncultured bacterium
Lineage: Bacteria
Description: bacterial SSU rRNA
Rfam family: Bacterial small subunit ribosomal RNA
Source: RNAcentral
UAAUACGAAGGGGACUAGCGUUGUUCGGAUUUACUGGGCGUAAAGCGCGCGUAGGCGGAUCACUAAGUCAGGGGUGAAAUCCCGAGGCUUAACCUCGGAACUGCCUUUGAUACUGGUGAUCUGGAGAUCGGGAGAGGUUGGUGGAAUUCCGAGUGUAGAGGUGAAAUUCGUAGAUAUUCGGAGGAACACCAGAAGCGAAGGCGGCCAACUGGCCCGAUACUGACGCUGAGGCGCGAAAGCGUGGGGAGCAAACAGGAUUAGAUACCCUGGUAGUCCACGCUGUAAACGAUGGGCACUAGGUGUCCGGGGUAUUGACCCCCUGGGUGCCGCAGCUAACGCAUUAAGUGCCCCGCCUGGGGAGUACGGUCGCAAGAUUA